RNAcentral lists this ribosomal RNA (1452 nucleotides) under uncultured organism. RNAcentral's name for it is "16S ribosomal RNA". It matches the Rfam family "Bacterial small subunit ribosomal RNA". The record is from RNAcentral.
GACGAACGCUGGCGGCGUGCCUAAUACAUGCAAGUAGAACGCUGAAGAGAGGAGCUUGCUCUUCUUGGAUGAGUUGCGAACGGGUGAGUAACGCGUAGGUAACCUGCCUUGUAGCGGGGGAUAACUAUUGGAAACGAUAGCUAAUACCGCAUAACAAUAGGUGACACAUGUCAUUUAUUUGAAAGGGGCAAUUGCUCCACUACAAGAUGGACCUGCGUUGUAUUAGCUAGUAGGUGAGGUAACGGCUCACCUAGGCGACGAUACAUAGCCGACCUGAGAGGGUGAUCGGCCACACUGGGACUGAGACACGGCCCAGACUCCUACGGGAGGCAGCAGUAGGGAAUCUUCGGCAAUGGGGGCAACCCUGACCGAGCAACGCCGCGUGAGUGAAGAAGGUUUUCGGAUCGUAAAGCUCUGUUGUAAGUCAAGAACGAGUGUGAGAGUGGAAAGUUCACACUGUGACGGUAGCUUACCAGAAAGGGACGGCUAACUACGUGCCAGCAGCCGCGGUAAUACGUAGGUCCCGAGCGUUGUCCGGAUUUAUUGGGCGUAAAGCGAGCGCAGGCGGUUUGAUAAGUCUGAAGUUAAAGGCUGUGGCUCAACCAUAGUUCGCUUUGGAAACUGUCAAACUUGAGUGCAGAAGGGGAGAGUGGAAUUCCAUGUGUAGCGGUGAAAUGCGUAGAUAUAUGGAGGAACACCGGUGGCGAAAGCGGCUCUCUGGUCUGUAACUGACGCUGAGGCUCGAAAGCGUGGGGAGCGAACAGGAUUAGAUACCCUGGUAGUCCACGCCGUAAACGAUGAGUGCUAGGUGUUGGAUCCUUUCCGGGAUUCAGUGCCGCAGCUAACGCAUUAAGCACUCCGCCUGGGGAGUACGACCGCAAGGUUGAAACUCAAAGGAAUUGACGGGGGCCCGCACAAGCGGUGGAGCAUGUGGUUUAAUUCGAAGCAACGCGAAGAACCUUACCAGGUCUUGACAUCCCGAUGCUAUUUCUAGAGAUAGAAAGUUACUUCGGUACAUCGGUGACAGGUGGUGCAUGGUUGUCGUCAGCUCGUGUCGUGAGAUGUUGGGUUAAGUCCCGCAACGAGCGCAACCCCUAUUGUUAGUUGCCAUCAUUCAGUUGGGCACUCUAGCGAGACUGCCGGUAAUAAACCGGAGGAAGGUGGGGAUGACGUCAAAUCAUCAUGCCCCUUAUGACCUGGGCUACACACGUGCUACAAUGGUUGGUACAACGAGUUGCGAGUCGGUGACGGCAAGCUAAUCUCUUAAAGCCAAUCUCAGUUCGGAUUGUAGGCUGCAACUCGCCUACAUGAAGUCGGAAUCGCUAGUAAUCGCGGAUCAGCACGCCGCGGUGAAUACGUUCCCGGGCCUUGUACACACCGCCCGUCACACCACGAGAGUUUGUAACACCCGAAGUCGGUGAGGUAACCUUUUGGAGCCAGCCGCCUAAGGUG